Molecule: ribosomal RNA, 497 nt
Filed under: uncultured bacterium
Lineage: Bacteria
Description: partial 16S ribosomal RNA
Rfam family: Bacterial small subunit ribosomal RNA
Source: RNAcentral
GACGAACGCUGGCGGCGUGCCUAAUACAUGCAAGUUGAGCGAUGAAGAUUGGUGCUUGCACCAAUUUGAAGAGCAGCGAACGGGUGAGUAACGCGUGGGGAAUCUGCCUUUGAGCGGGGGACAACAUUUGGAAACGAAUGCUAAUACCGCAUAACAACUUUAAACAUAAGUUUUAAGUUUGAAAGAUGCAAUUGCAUCACUCAAAGAUGAUCCCGCGUUGUAUUAGCUAGUUGGUGAGGUAAAGGCUCACCAAGGCGAUGAUACAUAGCCGACCUGAGAGGGUGAUCGGCCACAUUGGGACUGAGACACGGCCCAAACUCCUACGGGAGGCAGGAGUAGGGAAUCUUCGGCAAUGGACGAAAGUCUGACCGAGCAACGCCGCGUGAGUGAAGAAGGUUUUCGGAUCGUAAAACUCUGUUGGUAGAGAAGAACGUUGGUGAGAGUGGAAAGCUCAUCAAGUGACGGUAACUACCCAGAAAGGGACGGCUAACUACGUG